GGGUUAACAGCACGUGAAAUUGUGAAAGGGAAGCACUCGUGACUAGACUUGCGCCCGGCGGAUCAUCCAGCGCUCUGCGCUGGUGCACUGCGCCGGGCUCAGGCCAGCAUCGGCUCCCCCAGGCGGAUAAAAGCUCCGGGAACGUAGCUCCUCCGGGAGUGUUAUAGCCCGCUGCAAAAUACGCCUUGGGGGGCCGAGGUUCGCGCUCCGCAAGGAUGCUGGCGUAAUGGUCACCAGUGACCCGUCUUGAAACACGGACCAAGGAGUCAAGCAUUAGGGCGAGUGUUUGGGUGUCAAACCCGCACGCGUAAUGAAAGUGAAUGCUGGUGAGAGCUUCGGCGCAUCAUCGACCGAUCCUGAUGUAUUCGGAUGGAUUUGAGUAGGAGCCUUACCGCUUGGACCCGAAAGUUGAUGAACUAUGCCUGUAUAGGGUGAAGCCAGAGGAAACUCUGGUGGAGGCUCGCAGCGGUUCUGACGUGCAAAUCGAUCGUCAAAUAUGGGCAUGGGGGCGAAAGACUAAUCGAAUCAACUAGUAGCUGGUUACCGCCGAAGUUUCCCUCAGGAUAGCAGUGUUGUUUUCAGUUUUAUGAGGUAAAGCGAAUGAUUAGGGACUCGGGGGCGCUAUUUAGCCUUCAUCCAUUCUCAAACUUUAAAUAUGUAAGAAGCCCUUGUUACUUAGCUGAACGCGGGCCUUCGAAUGUAUCAACACUAGUGGGCCAUUUUUGGUAAGCAGAACUGGCGAUGCGGGAUGAACCGAACGCGGGUUUACGGUGCCGGAGUGGACGCUCAUCAGACACCACAAAAGGCGUUAGCACAUCUAGACAGUCGGACGGUGGCCAUGGAAGUCGGAAUCCGCUAAGGACUGUGUAACAACUCACCGACCGAAUGUGCUAGCCCUGAAAAUGGAUGGCGCUCAAGCGUCCCACCUAUAACCCGCCCUCAGGGUAGAACCGAUGCCCUGAGGAGUAGGCGGCCGUGGAGGUUUGUGACGAAGCCUAGGC
Molecule: ribosomal RNA, 1001 nt
Filed under: Sporidesmium fluminicola
Lineage: Eukaryota; Fungi; Ascomycota; Sordariomycetes; Sporidesmiaceae
Description: eukaryotic LSU rRNA
Rfam family: Eukaryotic large subunit ribosomal RNA
Source: RNAcentral